AUGGCAUAUUGCAAUGGUUGACGAUGGCGAUAAGACGUUUGCGCAAAACACUCACGUACCACCUACACCAAAUUUCAGCCAAGUUUUAUAUUAAAAUGUUGACAGCUAUAACAGUAUCCAUGUUCGGAACGAUAUACUAUAUUAGUUUGGAAGAAACAGAUUAUUAUCCAAUAAUUAACAGAAAAACUGAAAAUUUACUCAGAAAACAGCUGAAGUAUGAUAAAAACAGUGGCUGUGUCAUGCCGUACUUGGACCCAUUCAGUAACGAAUCCACGUGGAGUGAUAGAGUGCCGGAUCCCAUCAUAUGCACUGGCACCAACUGGGUCAAGUGCUACCACUCGAAAUGCCGCAUCAUCAACAAGAUUUUACAUUAUUACACAAACAUAUCUUGUACCUACCGCGAUAUAGUAUUUCAGACUGAUUUUUUAUAUUAUCUUGGAAGGCCCAUUCAAGUAAUCGGUGCUAACGUCUAUCAAUUGAACAGAAGUGACCAUGUUAAUGUUACUUGUACGGGAUCAAACGAAAAAGGUUUAGUAACGUGGUCUGGUAACUUGGCUGGGUUUCGGCCAGUCAGCCCUAUCGCCUCGCCUCAAGGUCGACAGAAUACGAUCAACAUUCUUAUUUUUGCAUUCGACUCCACUGCACGAAUAAGAUUUAUACGUCAUAUGCCAAAGAGUUAUAAAUAUAUAACUCAGGAUCUUCAAGCUACGAUAUUAACUAGCUACAAUAUAGCAGGCGACGGCACAAAAGAAGUAUUGACAAUGAUGCUAACCGGAAAAGCCUUGUACGAAUUACCAAGCGUUCAACCUAGGAUGAAAAGAAAACUGACAUGUGACGCUUUCCCAUUCAUAUUCUACAGGUUGAAAGAAGACGGUUACAGAACAGCUUUCUUGGAAGAUGGUCCGGAUCUAGGGACCUACCAGUGGGACGCAAAUGGUUUCCAGCAACAACCCACAGAUCAUUAUCAAUCUGCUUACAAUACUCAUAACAGACAGUUUUCAUUUUAUAACCAUGGCUGUUUAGGAGACACGCCACAAUACGAAGUCAUAAUGGAUUUAAACGUUCAGUUUAUGCGUUUGGACGGGAAAAAAUUCAUAUUCACCUUGGUGGGUGAUAUUUCCCACAACGACUCCAACUUAAUCACCAAUGCCGACGAAGCGUUCGUCACAUUCCUCACAAGAUUUAGGGAGGAGGGCCACGAGACUAAUACUCUGCUAAUCGUCAUGGGGGAUCAUGGACCAAGAUUUGGAGUCGAUAGAAGAACAGCUCAGUCUCAACUUGAAGAACGACUGCCUCUCAUGGCAAUCGUGCUGCCAGAGCAACUCAAAGAAGAGAGACCAGACGUCCUGCCGGCAUUGAAGAAGAACGCGAACUACCUGACGACUCCGUACGAUAUCCACUCGACCUUGCUGGAUGCAGUGGGUCUUCGUAAAUACUGGAACAAUUAUACAGUUCCCGGUGCUGACCAUCCUAGAGGCAGGACGUUGCUGGAACCGAUUCCUGCCAACCGAACCUGCAGCGAGGCAGGUAUCACCCCCCAUUACUGCGCGUGUCUGCUGUGGCACAACGUCUCCAAAAGCAAUCGUCUUUACAAGAUGGCGGGCGAAGCCUUCGUGGGCUAUGUCAACCACCUCCUUCAACCUGUGAAAUCGCUGUGCAAACCUCGCACGCUUGCCGAAAUCGGCUGGGUGAAGAAGUUACAUUUGUACACGUCUUUGGCGAACCCACAGGAAAUAUACCAAGUUAAGGUGACGCUCGACCCCGGCGCGAGCACGUUUGAAAGCACGCUGACAUAUGUAGUCAAAGAAGACAUAUUUGAGGUCAAUUCUAAAGACAUUUCGCGUACUAACAGUUAUGGUCGUCAGCCCAGAUGUAUAGAAAAGACAUAUCCACUUCUACGUUACUAUUGUUUCUGCUAUGAAUGAUUGAAUAUAAUAUACACACAUAAUAUCAAACGAUAUUUUAGAAGCAACAGUAGAAACUUAGUUAAUUUUACUGAUUUUUAAUGUUUGACUAAGCGACAAAAGUGACCACAUACUAACCUAACAUUCUAUUAGUAUACUCGAGUAAAUAGCCGUAACGACUCACGAAGAAAAAGAAGCAACUUUCGCAAUGGCCGGUUAGGUCCAGAUCCAGCCUGACCGUCGCCCGUUACUGGACACCGGGUGUUAAAGUGUGAAUUCAAACCUUCUAUUCGCUUUAAUGGAACUGUCACUCGAGGUGACACCUCGUCAACGCAAAAGGUUGAACAUGGAACAUUUUAAGCCACGGCCUCUAUCAUGGAUGGGAGCAAAAAGGGAAUCUUUUACGCUAUUCAUUUGUUUUGCGCUCACAUCGACAAGCUUUCAAUAUGAUUCCCGCCUCUCAUUUGUAACUGUAAACUCGAGCGAUAAAUGAAUAUUGUUUUUGGAACCUGCUUAUUUGUGAAUACAGGGUGAUUCAGUAUAAUCCUUUUGUAUUCGUAAAAUAUGUCGAAAUGAAUUGAUGAU
This is an RNA transcript of Plodia interpunctella (Indianmeal moth), 2489 nucleotides long. RefSeq lists it as uncharacterized. Lineage: Eukaryota; Metazoa; Arthropoda; Insecta; Lepidoptera; Pyralidae. The record is from RefSeq and is a predicted model, not a curated record. The transcript is spliced from 14 exons.